Molecule: ribosomal RNA, 468 nt
Filed under: uncultured bacterium
Lineage: Bacteria
Description: partial 16S ribosomal RNA
Rfam family: Bacterial small subunit ribosomal RNA
Source: RNAcentral
GACGAACGCUGGCGGCGUGCUUAACACAUGCAAGUCGAACGGAAAGGCCCUGCUUUUGUGGGGUGCUCGAGUGGCGAACGGGAGAGUAACACGUGAGUAACCUGCCCUUGACUUUGGGAUAACUUCAGGAAACUGGGGCUAAUACCGGAUAGGAGCUCCUGCUGCAUGGUGGGGGUUGGAAAGUUUCGGCGGUUGGGGAUGGACACGCGGCUUAUCAGCUUGUUGGUGGGGUAGUGGCUUACCAAGGCUUUGACGGGUAGCCGGCCUGAGAGGGUGACCGGCCACAUUGGGACUGAGAUACGGCCCAGACUCCUACGGGAGGCAGCAGUGGGGAAUAUUGCACAAUGGGCGGAAGCCUGAUGCAGCAACGCCGCGUGCGGGAUGACGGCCUUCGGGUUGUAAACCGCUUUCGCCUGUGACGAAGCGUGAGUGACGGUAAUGGGUAAAGAAGCACCGGCUAACUACGUG